This 1215-nucleotide ribosomal RNA is filed under the name Augochlorella pomoniella. RNAcentral describes it as "eukaryotic LSU rRNA". It matches the Rfam family "Eukaryotic large subunit ribosomal RNA", at positions 401 to 1266 of the family's 3401-position model. The record is from RNAcentral. Lineage: Eukaryota; Metazoa; Arthropoda; Insecta; Hymenoptera; Halictidae.
GAAACCGUUCAGGGGUAAACCUGAGAAACCCAAAAGAUCGAAUCGGGAGAUUCAACGAAAACGGGGCUGGCUUCCGUUGAUGUGCGAUACCCUGAAUGGUUCCUUCGCCGGUUCCAAUGAGAGGGCACACCAUCUUCGGCAAAUGUUCCGGCCUCGUAGUUGUGCACUUCUCCCGUUGUAGAACGUCGCGACCCGUUGCGUGUCGGUCUACGGCACGGGUUGUUGCCUGUCGCGUCGUCCUUGUGGCGUACACGGCAGACGCUCGAACGCCCGGCCGGCUGCGCGACGGUACUCUGACGGUAUCGGGCCGCAACCAAUCCAUUUUUUCGAAUAUGUGUGUGCGUCGGGCCCGCCGCAAGCUCGAUUAGGUACCCGGAUGGUACGGACCUGGUGCCGGCUCCGGGCCUAGUCAGCUGUUGGCAGGCGGUGUCCUCGGACUGGCCAAGCUCUUUGAAUUACCGGUCAGCGACGCUACUGCUUUGGGUACUUUCAGGACCCGUCUUGAAACACGGACCAAGGAGUCUAACAUGUGCGCGAGUCAUUGGGACUCGUUUAAACCUAAAGGCAUAAUGAAAGUAAAAGUCGAUCUUUAAAAAGUCGACCGAGGGAGGAUGGGCCGCGUUGCGAUGCGGCCUCGCACUCCCGGGGCGUCUCGUUGUCAUUGCGAGAAGAGGCGCACCCAGAGCGUACACGUUGGGACCCGAAAGAUGGUGAACUAUGCCUGGUCAGGACGAAGUCAGGGGAAACCCUGAUGGAGGUCCGUAGCGAUUCUGACGUGCAAAUCGAUCGUCGGAACUGGGUAUAGGGGCGAAAGACUAAUCGAACCAUCUAGUAGCUGGUUCCCUCCGAAGUUUCCCUCAGGAUAGCUGGCAUUCGCACGUUCCUCCGUAGUGAACGCUAGCGAGUUUCAUCUGGUAAAGCGAAUGAUUAGAGGCCUUGGGGCCGAAACGACCUCAACCUAUUCUCAAACUUUAAAUGGGUGAGAUCUCUGGCUUGCUUGUAUCAUGAAGCCAAGAGAUAUAUUGUGCGUUCGAUAUUCUUAUCGAACGAGAAUGAAAAAGAAUCAGAGUGCCAAGUGGGCCAUUUUUGGUAAGCAGAACUGGCGCUGUGGGAUGAACCAAACGUAGAGUUAAGGCGCCUAAGUCGACGCUUAUGGGAUACCAUGAAAGGCGUUGGUUGCUUAAGACAGCAGGACGGUGGCCAUGGAAGUCGGAA